RNAcentral lists this ribosomal RNA (468 nucleotides) under uncultured bacterium. Its description in RNAcentral is "partial 16S ribosomal RNA". It matches the Rfam family "Bacterial small subunit ribosomal RNA", at positions 28 to 507 of the family's 1533-position model. The record is from RNAcentral.
GACGAACGCUGGCGGCGUGCUUAACACAUGCAAGUCGAACGGAAAGGCCCUGCUUGUGUGGGGUGCUCGAGGGGCGAACGGGUGAGUAACACGUGAGUAACCUGCCCUUGACUUUGGGAUAACUUCAGGAAACUGGGGCUAAUACCGGAUAGGAGCUCCUGCUGCAUGGGGGGGGUUGGAAAGUUUCGGCGGUUGGGGAUGGACUCGAGGCGUAAGAGCUUGUGGGUGGGGUAGUGGCUGACCAAGGCUUUGACGGGUAGCCGGCCUGAGAGGGUGACCGGCCACAUUGCGCCUGCGAUACGGCCCAGACUGCUACGGGGGGCAGCAGUCGGGAAUAUUGCCCAGUGGGCGGAAGCCUGAUGCAGCGGCCCCGCGUGCGUGAUGACGGCCUUCGGGUUGUAAACCGCUUUCGCCUAUGACGAAGCGUGAGUGACGGUACUAGGUAAAGAAGCACCGGCUAACUACGUG